This is a long non-coding RNA of Ictalurus furcatus (blue catfish), 1112 nucleotides long. RefSeq lists it as uncharacterized. The transcript is spliced from 2 exons. Lineage: Eukaryota; Metazoa; Chordata; Actinopteri; Siluriformes; Ictaluridae. The record is from RefSeq and is a predicted model, not a curated record.
GUUAGAGAGAAAGAGACAGGUUUAGAGACAGAGAGAGAAGGAGACAGGGUUCGAGACAGAGAGAAAGAGACAGGUUUAGAGACAGAGAGAGAAAGAGACAGGGUUAGAGAGAAAGAGACAGGUUUAGAGACAGAGAGAGAAAGAGACAGGGUUCGAGACAGAGAGAGAAAGAGACAGGUUUAGAGACAGAGAGAAAGAGACAGGGUUAGAGAGAAAGAGACAGGGUUAGAGACAGAGAGAGAAAGAGACAGGUUUAGAGACAGAGAGAGAAAGAGACAGGGUUAGAGACAGACAGACAAGGUGAGAGACAGGGAGAGAGAGCCAGGUUUAGAGACCGAGAGAGAGAGACAGGUUUAGAGACCGGGAGAGAGAGACAGAGAGAGACAGGGUUAGAGACAGAGAGAGACAGGGUUAGAGACAGAGAGAGAGAGAGAGAGAGAGAGAGAGAGAGACAGGUUUAGAGACAGAGAGAAAAAGAGACAGGGUUAGAGAGAAAGAGACAGGUUUAGAGACAGAGAGAGAAAGAGACAGGGUUCGAGACAGAGAGAGAAAGAGACAGGUUUAGAGACAGAGAGAAAAAGAGACAGGGUUAGAGAGAGAGAGACAGGGUUAGAGAGAGAGAGACAGGGUUAGAGAGAGAGAGAGAGAGAGAGAGACAGGUUUAGAGACAGAGAGAAAAAGAGACAGGGUUAGAGAGAAAGAAACAGGUUUAGAGACAGAGCGUGAAAGAGACAGGGUUAGAGACAGAGAGAAAGAGACAGGGUUAGAGACAGAGAGAAAGAGACAGGGUUAGAGACAGAGAGAAAGAGACAGGGUUCGAGACAGAGAGAGAAAGAGACAGGUUUAGAGACAGAGAGAAAGAGACAGGGUUAGAGAGAAAGAGACAGGGUUAGAGACAGAGAGAGAAAGAGACAGGUUUAGAGACAGAGAGAGAAAGAGACAGGGUUAGAGACAGACAGACAAGGUGAGAGACAGGGAGAGAGAGCCAGGUUUAGAGACCGAGAGAGAGAGACAGGUUUAGAGACCGGGAGAGAGAGACAGAGAGAGACAGGGUUAGAGACAGAGAGAGACAGGGUUAGAGACAGAGAGAGAGAGAGAGAGAGAGAGAGAGA